UACGUAGGGUGCGAGCGUUGUCCGGAAUUAUUGGGCGUAAAGGGCUCGUAGGCGGUCUGUCGCGUCGGGAGUGAAAACUCAGGGCUUAACCCUGAGCCUGCUUCCGAUACGGGCAGACUAGAGGUAUGCAGGGGAGAACGGAAUUCCUGGUGUAGCGGUGAAAUGCGUAGAUAUCAGGAGGAACACCGGUGGCGAAGGCGGCUUACUGGACUGUAAAUGACGCUGAAUAGCGAAAGCCAGGGGAGCAAACGGG
This 253-nucleotide ribosomal RNA is filed under the name uncultured bacterium. Its description in RNAcentral is "partial 16S ribosomal RNA". It matches the Rfam family "Bacterial small subunit ribosomal RNA", at positions 524 to 776 of the family's 1533-position model. The record is from RNAcentral.